GGUCGGGAUGCCGCAGAACUUGUUCUCGUGGCACGCGUCCGCACGCUGCACUUUGUUGCCCGGUGUCGUCGGCGUGCACUUCUCCCCUAGUAGGACGUCGCGACCCGUUGGGUGUCGGUCUACGGCCCGGGUGGGUGCCUGUCUCGUGUGUGCUUCACGGCAUCACUGCGGGGCAGACCCCCGGCUGCCCGACCGUCUGCCCGGCGGUACUCGCAAGGUAUCUGGCCGCAAGUAUUCGAACUGCGUCCGGCCCGUCGCAAGCGAGGCAAGUGCUUCCCGAAUGCACGGAUCUAAUCCCGUCAUCGGGCCUUGCCAGCUGUUGGUUGACGGUGUCCUAGGACUGGCUAAACUAAUUAUGAUACCGGUCAGCGACGCUACUGCUUUGGGUACUUUCAGGACCCGUCUUGAAACACGGACCAAGGAGUCUAACAUGUGCGCGAGUCAUUGGGAGCUAUUAUGCCUAAAGGCGCAAUGAAAGUGAAGGUCGGCCUCGCGCCGACCGAGGGAGGA
RNAcentral lists this ribosomal RNA (510 nucleotides) under Cytorhyssa sp. RDB-2000. Its description in RNAcentral is "eukaryotic LSU rRNA". The record is from RNAcentral. Lineage: Eukaryota; Metazoa; Arthropoda; Insecta; Hymenoptera; Ichneumonidae.